AAAAAUGUUGCUUGAGAAUAUGUGUGGUCUUUUUUUUUCAACUUAAAUCUUCCAGUGGGAUCGCUUUUGCAUCCUAUGUUGAUGUUCUGAAUGCACUGUUUUGUCAUGGCUACUGUUUUACAUAUUUACAUAUAUCAAGUUAAUUAAGUGCUCUCAAAAGCUUCAUUGAUGUUUCUUUCUUUAGGGGAGGCUUCAUCCUUGAUGCAGCCAAACCUGGAGAAUUCAUUGGUGGGUUAAAGACUACCGUGUAAUGCCAGGAACCAAGCCAAACCAAAAAAAAAAAAGAAACUCAGAGAGAAUGAGAGGGGAAAUUGGCUCUUUCCAACUAACAGGAACAAGACAUUUUCAUUAAAGACUACCAAUAGAUUGAUAGUGUUCUUAUGGUCAACAAGGACAAGAAUUCCAGGGCUGCUCACCUUGAGUACACCUGAUGAACCAGUGAGGGGUGUGUUUCUUUUAGUCUGCAAUAUAUAUGGAGAGUUUGACUCUAAUUACAAGAUAAUUGAAUUAAUUUGAUAAUGUUUUCUGUAACUGUCUGUCACUUAAAAAAUCUCACAAUUAGCAGCAUUGGAAACUUGAUUAGAAAGUAGAAACCCUGCAGUAUUUAGUUUAAGUUGAGUAGCUGGGAAGACAAUUAGUAAGCUAUCAAUACUAAAGUUGAAGGCAAAUUACUAAAGUUUCAAGGACAGAUAAAUAGGAUGAAUUUCUCAUAAGAGAAUGACAUGAUUUGAAUUCCCACUAUAAGUGUAUUGCAAGUACCCUUCUGCUCGGGAAAGACAAUUAACAGAGAAAGGUUACGCUGGAAGCAAAAUAUAAGCUUUCUAGUUGUUGAGUUUGCAAAGAAGGAUGCCCU
This 853-nucleotide long non-coding RNA is filed under the name Prunus persica (peach). RNAcentral describes it as "long non-coding RNA (PPER_LNC007560)". Lineage: Eukaryota; Viridiplantae; Streptophyta; Magnoliopsida; Rosales; Rosaceae. The record is from RNAcentral.